This 646-nucleotide ribosomal RNA is filed under the name uncultured bacterium. Its description in RNAcentral is "bacterial SSU rRNA". It matches the Rfam family "Bacterial small subunit ribosomal RNA", at positions 8 to 653 of the family's 1533-position model. The record is from RNAcentral.
AGAGUUUGAUCCUGGCUCAGGCCCUUUGCUGGCGGCGCGCCUAACACAUGCAAGUCGAACGGGCCUAUCUCGGAAGAAGUUUUCGGAUGGAUUUUGGGAUAGUUUAGUGGCGGACGGGUGAGUAACACGUGAGCAACCUGCCUUUGAGAGGGGAAUAACGGCUGGAAACGGUCGCUAAUACCGCAUAACGUACGGAUGGGACAUCCUGUCCGUACCAAAGAUUUAUCGCUCGAAGAUGGGCUCGCGUCCGAUUAGGUAGUUGGUGAGGUAACGGCCCACCAAGCCGACGAUCGGUAGCCGGACUGAGAGGUUGAACGGCCACAUUGGGACUGAGACGCGGCCCAGACUCCUACGGGAGGCAGCAGUGGGGGAUAUUGCACAAUGGGGGAAACCCUGAUGCAGCGACGCCGCGUGUGGGAAGACGGUCUUCUGGAUUGUAAACCACUGUCCCCAGGGACGAAAAUGACGGUACCUGGGGAGGAAGCUCCGGCUAACUACGUGCCAGCAGCCGCGGUAAUACGUAAGGAGCAAGCGUUGUCCGGAAUUACUGGGUGUAUCGGGAGCGUACGCGGGGAUGCAAGUUGGGUGUCACAACUACCGGCUCAACCGAUAGUCGCACUCACAACUGCAGCUCUUGAUUGAAGUA